This 259-nucleotide ribosomal RNA is filed under the name uncultured prokaryote. Its description in RNAcentral is "partial 16S ribosomal RNA". It matches the Rfam family "Bacterial small subunit ribosomal RNA", at positions 524 to 782 of the family's 1533-position model. The record is from RNAcentral.
UACGGAGGAUGCGAGCGUUAUCCGGAUUUAUUGGGUUUAAAGGGUGCGUAGGCGGCCAUUUAAGUCAGCGGUGAAAUUUUGCAGCUUAACUGUAACAGUGCCGUCGAUACUGUUUGGCUAGGAUUUGGUUGUAGUGUGCGGAAUGUGUGGUGUAGCGGUGAAAUGCUUAGAUAUCACACAGAACACCGAUUGCGAAGGCAGCACACUAAGUCAUUAUUGACGCUGAGGCACGAAAGUGUGGGGAUCAAACAGGAUUAGA